RNAcentral lists this ribosomal RNA (2238 nucleotides) under Triticum aestivum (bread wheat). RNAcentral describes it as "partial small subunit ribosomal RNA". Lineage: Eukaryota; Viridiplantae; Streptophyta; Magnoliopsida; Poales; Poaceae. The record is from RNAcentral.
AUGUCCGGCUUCGUCGGGGUCGUCGUCUCCGACCCCUCCCUGCAGGGCCAGUUCACGCAGGUCGAGCUCCGAUCGCUCAAGGCCAAGUUCGUGUCUCUGAAGAGGGACUCCGGCCAUGUCACCACCAAGAACCUCCCGGGGCUGAUGAAGAAGCUCAGGGGACUUCACGAAGUGGUCCCCGAGGAGGAGAUCGCCGCUUUCUUGUCGGAGUCGUACCCCGACAGCGACCAGGAGAUUGAGUUCGAGUCCUUCCUCCGGGAGUACCUGAAUCUGCAAGCAAGGGUAAGCGCCAAGGAAGGAAGCGCCACUGCUGGCGGCGGCGGGGCUGGCGGCCGCAAGAACUCGUCGUCGUUCCUCAAAUCCACCAUCACUACGCUGCUGCACAAUCUCAACCAGGCGGAGAAGUCUUCUUACGUGGCGCAUAUUAACACUUACCUUGGUGAAGACCCAUUCUUGAAGAAGUACUUGCCAAUCGACCCAUCCGGCAACCAGCUAUUCGAUCUUAUUAGGGAUGGUGUGCUGCUCUGUAAGUUGAUCAAUGUAGCUGUACCUGGGACCAUUGAUGAGAGAGCAAUAAAUAAGAAAAGAGUUCUUAACCCAUGGGAGAGGAAUGAAAACCACACACUGUGCCUCAACUCUGCAAAGGCCAUUGGAUGUACUGUUGUCAACAUUGGCACCCAGGAUUUAGUGGAAGGAAGGCCUCAUUUAGUUCUUGGAUUGAUAUCUCAAAUCAUAAAGAUUCAACUUUUGGCUGAUCUUAAUCUUAAGAAGACACCCCAGCUUGUGGAAUUGUUUGAUGACAGUAAGGAUAUAGAUGAGGUGUUGAGCUUGUCACCAGAAAAGAUGCUGCUUCGAUGGAUGAACCAUCAUCUGAAAAAGGCUGGCUACAAGAAAACUGUUAACAAUUUCUCUUCGGAUGUGAAGGAUGGUGAAGCCUAUGCUUAUCUUCUAAAGGCUCUUGCUCCAGAGACUUCCCCUGAAACCACACUGGAGACUAAGGAUCCUGAUGAAAGGGCAAAAAUGGUACUUGAACAAGCAGAGAAGUUGGACUGCAAAAGAUACCUUACACCAAAGGAUAUAACUGAGGGUUCUGCCAACUUGAAUCUUGCAUUUGUUGCACAAAUAUUCCAGCAUCGGAAUGGUCUAACUAGUGACAUUAAACAAGUUACACUCACACAGUCAGCAUCACGUGAUGAUGUUCUAGUAUCCAGAGAAGAAAGGGCCUUCCGAAUGUGGAUCAACAGCCUUGGGGUCGAGUCAUACGUGAAUAAUGUUUUUGAAGAUGUUCGCAAUGGAUGGGUACUUCUUGAAGUACUUGACAAAGUUUCUCCUGGAUCUGUCAAUUGGAAGUUGGCAUCAAAACCUCCAAUUAAGUUGCCAUUUAGGAAACUGGAGAACUGCAAUCAAGUUGUAAAAAUUGGGAAGGAGUUAAAGUUUUCAUUAGUAAAUUUAGCUGGGAAUGAUAUUGUUCAGGGAAAUAAGAAAUUGAUAGUUGCACUUCUGUGGCAAUUGAUGAGAUUUAAUAUCCUUCAAUUGCUAAACAGACUGAGAUCCCACUCCAAAGGAUCCCAAGGAAAGCAAAUUACUGAUGCAGAUAUACUGAACUGGGCAAACAGCAAAGUGAAAACAUCCGGAAGAACAUCUCGAAUGGAAAGCUUCAAGGAUAAGAGCUUAUCAAAUGGAGUGUUCUUUCUUGAACUUCUUAGUGCAGUUCAGCCAAGGGUUGUGAACUGGAAAGUGGUUACAAAGGGAGAAGCUGACGAGGAAAAGAAGCUAAAUGCUACCUACAUCAUUAGUGUUGCAAGAAAGCUCGGAUGUUCUGUGUUUCUACUGCCAGAGGACAUCAUAGAGGUGAACCAGAAGAUGAUCCUAACUCUUACAGCUAGCAUCAUGUAUUGGAGCCUGCUGAGACAACCACAGCCUGAAAUAUCUGAAGCAUCAGAGCCAUCUAGCAUGGCUUCGGACGCAACUUCCGACAUUGGCUCGGAGGAUGGUGCUUCGACAGCGGCACCGUCUGAGAGCGAAGAGGCAAACUCACUGUCCGACAGUCUAUCCACCCUGACCACAGACGACGCCACCUCAAAUGCUCCAGCUGCAGAAAACGGGAACGACGCCACCCCAGAUGCUCCACUUGCAGAAAACGGGAACGACGCCACCCCAGAUGCUCCACCUGCAGAAAACGGGAACGACGCCACCCCAGGUGCUCGACCUGCAGAAAACGGGAACGACGCCACAUGA